Long non-coding RNA from Equus quagga, 547 nucleotides. RefSeq lists it as uncharacterized. The transcript has 2 exons. The record is from RefSeq and is a predicted model, not a curated record. NCBI's taxonomy places the organism in Eukaryota, Metazoa, Chordata, Mammalia, Perissodactyla, Equidae.
CUUUAACGAUCCCCCGGUGGCGGUGAGCAGCAGUGUCGGAAGGGGUGAGCGGCGCGAACUCGCAACCAGCUGCCGAAUCUGCAGCCCAGCUGUCUCCCCUAGCAGCCAGAUCCUCUGGGGAAAGUUGCUCGCCUCUCUGUGCCUCAGUUUCCUCGCCUGUAAAUGACAGCUGCCCUAUGGGGUUGACGUGACUAUCAAAUGGAUUCUUUUCCUGGAACUGCCUGGCACAGAGUAAGGGCUUAUGAAAUAAUACUCUGGGUGUUUUUAAAGCAGACCUUCUUCAGAGGGCCACUCCGACUCUGCAGUGUUUGCCUAAUCACUCCAAUUUAGGAAGAGAUUUCUGGAUGUCAGCUUGAGUGGCCAGGGAAGCCAAGAUGGACCGAGGAGCGGACUGUGAGGGAGCCAGGCUUCCGUGGGGUCCUGCGCUCCCACACCUCUGAGGACUGCCUUGGCUGACUGGAAGAGCAACCGCGACCAGGCCUGGUCUAGUGUCUUUCCUGAAGUUCACGUGAACAGAGUCCUGGUCGAUAAACAUCGUAAUCCCUGC